GAGGAGACACCCAACAGCCACUACUAACCUCCUCCUCUCACUUCUCUAGAAGUUUCCUGACAGCCUUUCACAACAUCUUUGUAUAAUAUUUGCUGGUGAGACUCAUGCAAAAUUCUGAACUCAGAGCAUGGUUCUGACAGCAGUGCUGUAGACAUGGUCUCUCAGCAUCUCUCCAGCACUGCUUGUUUCUGACAUGCUACUGAUAAGCACUGCAGUGUGAGUGAUGAACAGAGGGCAUUGCUGUGACAAGCUGAAAGAACUCAGGUGGGACCUCUCUGCUUCAUGGACACAUUUUAUGGCAUCUGGAAAGGAGGUCUGGAAAAAUAGGCUCUGUCCUCAACAUGCCCAUGGGAGUCUUGGCAGCCUCUGCAGCAUUCGUCUCUGAGCUGAGCCUCAGCAGCAGGAAGACUGAAAUUGAAACUAGAGAGGUAGAAUUACUGUUUUCAAUCUGAGACAGUUUUGAACAAGCCCACUUAUGACCUGAUCCCAUUUAUCAGAUUGUUUGUUAAAUUUCACCCUCUUGAGUGGAACAUCCACUCAACAUGAAGUACUUUAUCUCUCAGAGAAACAAAGUCACAAGAUAGGAGAGGGAAUUGAAACAUGGACUGAAAUGUAUGAAGAAUCACCCUGACUCCAUCUUAGGCUUAAAAGCCAUCUUAUAGUAAAGACAAACUAGGUUCAUUCCUGUUUAUAGUCAAACCUGUUUCUCAAGGAUUGGACUUUAUCCCACCUGGAACUUUAACUACAAGUGGUUCUGUAUGUUCCAGAAAUGGCAAUCAUGUCUUUGCUUCAAGAACUGGCUUAUAACCAUAAUAAAAACCGAACUUUGGGGGGGAGGGAAUAAAAAAAAAAAACCCUACCUUAGUUUCAACAGGUUAUAUGACCAUCUAUGACUAACUUGGUAUGACUACCAGUUGCUAUGACUAUCUUGUUAUGUCAUCUUAGUAACCAUGAUUUUGUUUCAAUUAAUUACUUGCUUCAAUAAGUUUGGCCAUAAUGAUUUGGGUCAGUGAUUUUUCUCCUUCCAUCUUUGAGAUUAACAUGUGCUAGAGAUAAAAUAAUUAAAACUGCUAAAUGAAAAG
Molecule: long non-coding RNA, 1082 nt
Organism: Mus musculus (house mouse)
Lineage: Eukaryota; Metazoa; Chordata; Mammalia; Rodentia; Muridae
Product: predicted gene 15987
Exons: 2
Source: RefSeq, marked predicted